UUUUUAUAUAAAAGUUAUUUUAUAAUUGUUAUAAUUAUAUAAGAAAUUAUAUGUGUUUGUAUAAUAAUUUUUUUAUUUUAUUUUGAGAAAAUUAGAGUGUUUUAAGCAUGAUUUUUUAAUUGAAUAGUGGAGUAUGGAAUAUUAAAAAUGUAAUAAAAUUUAUUUAUGUGUUGGUUUUAAAGUGUUAAUUAAUAAUUUCUAAGAAUAGUUGGGGGUAUUUUUAUUUAAUAGCAAGAGGUGAAAUUCUUAGAUUUGUUGAAGAUAAAUUAUUGUAAAAACAUUUAUUAAAAAUAUUUUUUUUAAUUAAGAACAAAAGUUAGGGGAUCGAAGACGAUCAGAUACCGUCGUAGUCUUAAUUAUAAACUAUGCUGAUUAGAGAUUAGACGUUUUUAAAUAAAUGAUUUGUUUAGUAUUUUUAGAGAAAUCGAAGUUUUUAAGUUUUGGGGGGAGUAUAAUUGCAAGAUUGAAACUUAAAGGAAUUGACGGAAAGGCACCACCAGAAGUGGAGUUUGCGGUUUAAUUUGACUCAACACAAGAAAUUUUAUUAGGUCUAGACAUAUGAAGGAUUGACAGAUUAAUAGUUUUUUUUUGAUUUUAUGGGUGGUA
This 606-nucleotide ribosomal RNA is filed under the name Aggregata octopiana. RNAcentral's name for it is "partial 18S ribosomal RNA". It matches the Rfam family "Eukaryotic small subunit ribosomal RNA", at positions 675 to 1279 of the family's 1831-position model. Lineage: Eukaryota; Apicomplexa; Marosporida; Aggregatidae. The record is from RNAcentral.